GUUGUCGGUCCGGAGUCGAUGGAUUAUCCGACAAACCGCCCCUUUGAUCCCAUCGACAUCCCAAAUUGACCGUCAU
Molecule: small RNA, 76 nt
Filed under: Caenorhabditis briggsae
Lineage: Eukaryota; Metazoa; Nematoda; Chromadorea; Rhabditida; Rhabditidae
Description: Nematode sRNA ceN72-3_ceN74-2
Rfam family: Nematode sRNA ceN72-3_ceN74-2
Source: Rfam by way of RNAcentral